GACGAACGCUGGCGGCGUGCUUAACACAUGCAAGUCGAGCGGUAAGGCCCUUUCGGGGGUACGACGAGCGGCGAACGGGUGAGUAACACGUGGGUGACCUGCCCUUAGCUCUGGGAUAAGCCUGGGAAACUGGGUCUAAUACCGGAUAUGACUCCAUAACGCAUGUUGUGGGGUGGAAAGCCUUGUGCGGCUAGGGAUGGGCCCGCGCCUAUCAGCUUGUUGGUGGGGUGAUGG
This 234-nucleotide ribosomal RNA is filed under the name uncultured bacterium. RNAcentral's name for it is "partial 16S ribosomal RNA". It matches the Rfam family "Bacterial small subunit ribosomal RNA", at positions 28 to 263 of the family's 1533-position model. The record is from RNAcentral.